RNAcentral lists this ribosomal RNA (429 nucleotides) under uncultured bacterium. RNAcentral describes it as "bacterial SSU rRNA". It matches the Rfam family "Bacterial small subunit ribosomal RNA", at positions 955 to 1378 of the family's 1533-position model. The record is from RNAcentral.
AGGAACGCGAAGAACCUUACCAGGUCUUGACAUCUUUUGAUCACCUGAGAGAUCAGGCUUCCCCUUCGGGGGCAAAAUGACAGGUGGUGCAUGGUUGUCGUCAGCUCGUGUCGUGAGAUGUUGGGUUAAGUCCCGCAACGAGCGCAACCCUUAUGACUAGUUGCCAGCAUUUAGUUGGGCACUCUAGUAAGACUGCCGGUGACAAACCGGAGGAAGGUGGGGAUGACGUCAAAUCAUCAUGCCCCUUAUGACCUGGGCUACACACGUGCUACAAUGGAUGGUACAACGAGUUGCGAGACCGCGAGGUCAAGCUAAUCUCUUAAAGCCAUUCUCCAGUUCGGACUGUAGGCUGCAACUCGCCUACACGAAGUCGGAAUCGCUAGUAAUCGCGGAUCAACACGCCGCGGUGAAUACGUUCCCGGGGUCUUG